Molecule: non-coding RNA, 73 nt
Organism: Desulfatitalea sp. BRH_c12
Lineage: Bacteria; Pseudomonadati; Thermodesulfobacteriota; Desulfobacteria; Desulfobacterales; Desulfosarcinaceae
Source: Rfam
GCCGAGGUAGCUCAGUCGGUAGAGCAGGGGACUGAAAAUCCCCGUGUCGGCGGUUCGAUUCCGUCCCUCGGCA